GUCUAUGGCAAUACCAUCUUGAAUGUGCCAAAUCUUGUCUGGUUGGAAGCUAAACAGGGCCGGGCCUGGUAAGCACAUGAAUGGAAGAAAAUAACCCAUCAAUGCUAGCUAGAAAAUUGAACUGUAAUCU
This 130-nucleotide ribosomal RNA is filed under the name Jaculus jaculus (lesser Egyptian jerboa). Lineage: Eukaryota; Metazoa; Chordata; Mammalia; Rodentia; Dipodidae. The record is from RNAcentral.